AGCGUUUGCCACCUAGACU
This 19-nucleotide small nuclear RNA is filed under the name Arabidopsis thaliana (thale cress). RNAcentral's name for it is "snRNA_04835". Lineage: Eukaryota; Viridiplantae; Streptophyta; Magnoliopsida; Brassicales; Brassicaceae. The record is from RNAcentral.